UGCGGAGUAGAGCAGCUUGGUAGCUCGUCGGGCUCAUAAUCCGAAGGUCGAUGGUUCAAAUCCUUCCUCCGCUA
This 74-nucleotide transfer RNA is filed under the name Scherffelia dubia. RNAcentral's name for it is "tRNA-Met". It matches the Rfam family "tRNA". From Rfam's summary of the family: Transfer RNA (tRNA) molecules are approximately 80 nucleotides in length. Their secondary structure includes four short double-helical elements and three loops (D, anti-codon, and T loops). Lineage: Eukaryota; Viridiplantae; Chlorophyta; Chlorodendrophyceae; Chlorodendrales; Chlorodendraceae. The record is from RNAcentral.